GUCUGUACCGUAUGACUGAAGAUGGUAAUAUGGGGGGCGAUAGCGUUGUGCGGAAUGUUGGAGCGUCGAGAGCGCGUAGUGGGUGUGAUGGGUUUUCUGUGGAAGUCAGUGGCUUAUUCCCUGGUCUGCCGUGUGUACGGGCAUACUUGAGUGCAGUAGGGGAGACUGGAAUUCCUGGUGUAGCGGUGAAAUGCGCAGAUAUCAGGAGGAACGCCGAUGGCGAAGGCAGGUCUCUGGGCUGUAACUGACGCUGAGGAGCGAAAGCAUGGGGAGCGAACAGGAUUAGAUACCCGGGUAUUC
Molecule: ribosomal RNA, 300 nt
Filed under: uncultured Desulfocapsa sp.
Lineage: Bacteria; Pseudomonadati; Thermodesulfobacteriota; Desulfobulbia; Desulfobulbales; Desulfocapsaceae
Description: bacterial SSU rRNA
Rfam family: Bacterial small subunit ribosomal RNA
Source: RNAcentral